RNAcentral lists this ribosomal RNA (386 nucleotides) under uncultured bacterium. RNAcentral's name for it is "bacterial SSU rRNA". It matches the Rfam family "Bacterial small subunit ribosomal RNA", at positions 28 to 416 of the family's 1533-position model. The record is from RNAcentral.
GACGAACGCUGGCGGCGUGCUUAACACAUGCAAGUCGAGCGGUAAGGCCCUUUUGGGGGUACACGAGCGGCGAACGGGUGAGUAACACGUGGGUGACCUGCCCUCAGCUCUGGGAUAAGCCUGGGAAACUGGGUCUAAUACUGGAUAUGACCUUUCCUCGCAUGGGGGUUGGGUGGAAAGUUUUUCGGCUGGGGAUGGGCCCGCGGCCUAUCAGCUUGUUGGUGGGGUGAUGGCCUACCAAGGCGACGACGGGUAGCCGGCCUGAGAGGGCGACCGGCCACACUGGGACUGAGACACGGCCCAGACUCCUACGGGAGGCAGCAGUGGGGAAUAUUGCGCAAUGGGCGGAAGCCUGACGCAGCGACGCCGCGUGGGGGAUGACGGCC